UUAAUCAUUUUAAAAUUUGAAUUGCAAUUUUCGUUACAUUUGAUCUGUAAGAAUUCGAUUCUGAAUCAUUUUCAUUUCAAAUCGAUUCACACACAUAGCAGACGCUAACACAUCAAGCGUCAUCAAUAGCGUGGUCUGUGGUGCAAUGCUAUCGCUGGAGUAAGGCGUUUACCUUCAAUUCGGGUAUCGUCAUGAUUGGCCUACCCUGAUGGCGUCAUGAUCGCUGCUGAUUGCCUUUCAAAUAGGUUUUCAGCAUUCUGCUUACACCUUUGGCAUAGAGUCACAUAUUUCACAAUCCAACAUCAAUUGGUACCAACAGCAGCCCUUCUCUCCAUCAUCCAGAAGGGUCUGAGAUCAGUGUUGGAGAUGAUGGUUCGGAACAACCCAUGGAAAGCUUAUCACUCAUUGAUGCUGUGAUGCCUGAUGUUGUUGCAAGUCGUUAACAGCAAACACAGAACAAUCAGAAACCAAAGUGGUAAGACCGUAAGACAGAACCACCAAAUUCCAAUGGAGAUGAACCCAUGCAUUCCUAUCGUAAGAUAGUCAAUACUUUUUUUUUAUCCCCUGAACUGCUUACUUAUUUUCCCUUCAACUAUUUAAUGAAGGCUGGGAAGAGGAAUUACUAGAGGAAGAGGAAUUACUAUCCUGUUUAUUGAAUAUACAGUGUAAUGACACCAUAAAACAUCAGACCACCUAAAUCAUAAUUGGGGGAAAUUUCAAAAAAUAAAACACGCGGUAGCCAACUGAUUUUUAAAACAUAUUAUCUUAUUUUUAUUGACAAAUCAAAUCAAAAUAUUUUUAUCAACGUCACAACGGAAAAUAUACCAGCUCAACGUCCCACAAUCGAACGGUCAAGUCAAACGAAGCGCUAGCCAAAAUCAGAUUCGUGUUGGGGUUUUUUGUUCCAAGGCCGGUAGAACUCCAUUUUUUGGUGUACAUUUCCUUGUUGUGUUUUGUGUGCUUGCGAAUCAUGAACACAAGUGGCUUAUUUCAUGGACCACAUCUAGGAGUGUUACUCAUUAUUUAUCUCCUACCAGUUGGCGGGUGGCCCAAAUCUCCCGUUUUACAAGAUGACAUUGGUGCUGGAGCAGCUGUGUGAAGACGUAAAGCUAUCACAGAAGCUUCUCUCACACGAGAAAAUCAAGGCCCAUAGGAAGAAGGAGACACAGUUGAAGAACUCCAUCCUUUUUGCUUUGUGGACACGGUACCAGGAUAAUGAGUUAUCAACCGUGGAACUACUGGAGGAAAUAGUGUUAGAACUGAAAACCUCAUUCCCAACUGUAGUCACUGACCAUCCUUUAAACCUGAAUGAUGAAAACAUAGAUAAUUAUGACAUGUCAUUUGUGAGCGAUGAUGAAAUGUAAACUUAACAUUCAACUGAUUUUUAAAACAUUAUCUUAUUUUUAUUGAUGUAUAAAAUGUAUUGGCACUGGUUACCUGAAUAGCAUUCAGGUUCCCAAUCUUUUGCCUUGUCAAUUGUUUCCGUCUUUCUUUAAAGCUUCUCUUCAGUUAUCCCAGCAAAUACCUUGAAAUGAAAUAAAAUUAAAACAAAUCGAA
Long non-coding RNA from Daphnia pulex (common water flea), 1557 nucleotides. RefSeq lists it as uncharacterized. The transcript has 4 exons. NCBI's taxonomy places the organism in Eukaryota, Metazoa, Arthropoda, Branchiopoda, Diplostraca, Daphniidae. The record is from RefSeq and is a predicted model, not a curated record.